This is a long non-coding RNA of Orcinus orca (killer whale), 7333 nucleotides long. RefSeq lists it as uncharacterized. The transcript has 11 exons. Lineage: Eukaryota; Metazoa; Chordata; Mammalia; Artiodactyla; Delphinidae. The record is from RefSeq and is a predicted model, not a curated record.
ACGGCGGUGCACGAGGGAGGAGGCGGCCGCCCGCGCACCCCCCCAGCCCCCGGUUAAAACAAAGACGCGACGCCACCCCCAGGCACCCCGUCCCCGGGAGGCUCCCCAUCCUAAGUCCCGGACAGCGGGCCUCGGGGGCAGGUUGAAAAGCCAUCGUGGCGCCGAAAUGAGGCUCGAGGAGGCAGAAUCCGAGGACGGGGUCAGUCCCCGCCAAGUCGGACCACAGUCCUUUCCAACCCAGUUCGCUCGUCCACGCCCAGAAAACCAGGGCAGAACCGCUUGUCAGGCAAACCAGGACGUUUCAAGGGAAUGACCGAGCUUUGAUCAUUGACCUCUGGAAUCUUCCAUCUUUGGUCAACUUUACUAAACUCCUGGCUCAGAUCUGGUCUUCCUCAGUGGCUGCUCUUUGUACUAAUAAGUUUUAAUGUGGGUUCCCAGGUACUACCAGGUGAGAUCACUUUAACAAUUUGUCCCUAAGACCACUGGAUCAUAGCCCUCAUCUCUCAGAUGUGAUGAUCUCAGUCUGUCUUCCUCCUUUCUUGUGUCUUUUUUUUUUUUUUUUUGCGGUACGCGGGCCUCUCACUGUUGUGGCCCCUUCCGUUGUGGAGCACAGGCUCCGGACGCGCAGGCUCAGCGGCCAUGGCUCACGGGCCCAGCCACUCCGCGGCAUGUGGGAUCUUCCUGGACCGGGGCUCGAACCCGUGUCCCCUGCAUCGGCAGGCGGACUCUCAACCACUGCACCACCAGGGAAGCCCUCUUGUGUCUUUUUGAUAUUUCCAGGGUUAUUUCACAGAUUUGCAUCACUUCUGCCUCUGUCAACCCAUUGGUUCUUAUUUGUCCCUUGGCUUUUAUUGAAAAGUGCCUACUUUUGCUAUGCUGCCCAUAAGGUGUGGCCUUGCUUACCCUUCACCUGACAGAGACUUCAGUACCUGCCAGGGCUGGGUCAGGAGGGCUUAAGAAUAACCAUAUGCUGCCUUCCACUCAAAGUUUGUCACUGAGUGUGGCCCAUCUGCCGACUCCAUCCUUACUUUUGUGAUUUUCUUCCUCUCAGCAGUCGCCUUUUCUUUCCAACAACCUUCUUUUAAGAGUCCCAUGGAUGAUUGAUUGGAUGAGACAGAAACCCAAAUCAAACAGCCUUAGGCAAAAAAAAAAAAGAAAUUAAUUGUCACCAAGAUUCCAAGGAAGCCUUGAAUAACUGAACAUGGAAGGCAGGCCUUAAAUGCAGCUUGUCUUUGGGCCCCUGGAUUCCAUUGUUUCUUAGGCCAUAGAACGGCUCUCAUUGGCCCAACCCAGGUCAGUUGUGGUCAUGGGGGCAGUGUUAUGUAAGAACAUAGCACUUCCUACAGAAACCACAUGAGUGGAAAUGAGGGAGAAGAAAUUCCUAGACAACACAGAUCGCUGUUUCUAAAGGUGGGUAGAGUCGUUGAACAGGUAAAGCAAUCUAUCCGUCACAGCUCCCUACAGAGCUGCCUGAAUAUGACUAAAUCACAAUAGAAAAGGUUCAAAUUCUCUCUUACAGGACUUCUGGACCCUUGAAAAUCAGGGGUAUGGUCAGACAGGGGUUUAGAUCCUUACUCUGUUCACUCACUGGAGCCUUAGUUCCAGCCUGUCUGGGACCCUGCUUUACUAGGUGUUAUAUUUUUUGGUUGUGAUAUGUUCAGGGUGGACCCAGAUUUCACAAAGAUAACCACUGGCCCCUUCUUAGCCAACUCUCCCUCACCUCCCAUCUUCCCCACGUCAGUAAAUGGUACUGUGGAUAAUCCAAUUGCCCAAUCUAGAAACCUGGGGGUCAUUCAUUCCUCUUUCUCCCUCUGCCAAUUCCACCUGCUAAAUAUCUUUCAAACUCUCCACUUCUCUCCAGCCCUGCUGCCUUCUCUCCUCUUCCAAGCCACCAUCACCUCUCAUCUUGCAGCCCCUUAGUCUUAUACCCUGUCAACCUAUUUUCCACAUUAUAGCCAGUGAUCUCUUUUUUAAAAAAUCUGCUUAUGUCCCUCACUAAUUAAAACUUUAGUAGCCUCCCAAUAUUAUGCUUCCAAACCCCUCAAUAUGGCUAGUAUGUCCCCAUCCCCCCGACCAUGCUUGACCUCUUGCUUAUCUCCUCUGCCAAAUGGUCCUCUUACUCUCUGUUAUCUUCAGUAGCAGACUUCUUGCAGUUUCUCAUUGAGACACACCCACUCCCACUUUCAUUUUUCCACAUGUGCUGUUCCCUCCCUCUGCAACACUCUUCCCCCCUACCCUUCAUUCAGCUGACCCUUCCUCAUGCUUCAAGUCUCAACUUAAACAUCAUUUCCUCUGGUAACCAUCCUUGGCUCUCCAGGCUGGCUUGUUUCCUUCUCAUACGUUCCUGUAGCACUAAGACCUACCAUUCAAAACUCAAGUCCCAUCUGUAACUACCUGUCUACCACCUGUCUUCCCUCCCAACCCUCCCUGAGGGUCCAGACCUUUCCUAUCAUGUUCACCACUGUAUCCUCAGCACUUACUGUGCCUGGUGCAUCAUCGUAGGUUCUAAACAAACGCGUAUUGAGGAAGUGCUGAAGGAGUUUCCUCAAAAGCCGAGGCCCUGGUGGGGAAGGCAGUGUCCUGCUGAGUGUAUCUGUUUUCCCUCCAUGCCCCCACUGGCAGCAGCAACUUCUCCACACCCAUGUCCAUACCUCACCUUGCCCUCAGUCCUCUGUCAGGAAGCUGGAAGCCCUCUGAACAGGAUGGCUUUGUUCUACAAUACAAGGUCCCGAAGGGAGGAGGAAACCCAGUCCGCCGGAAGUGGAAGUUGGAAGGAAAGCUGAGGCCUAGGAAGUGGGAAGAUGGCUCCUGGGACCCGCAAUCAUGUAUCGGCAUCUCGUGCAUGCAUGAAGAGGGGAAGAAGACAAGCUGCGGGGCUAGAGUAAGAUUUGCACACCUUGGGUCCUGGGACCGUCCUGCUCAGCUGAGUGGAAUACCAAACGAGGGUGUCUUGGAGCUGCACUUCACUUCAGCCAGGCAGUCGACAGGAGAAGCAGCGAGCGAGACCGACAGACUGUCACUGGCAAAAUGAACUGUCACCUCCCAUUUUUCAGAGGCACGGGGGAUGAAUUGCAGCCUUGAACCAUGCGGCCCGCUGCUGAUUGAGUUCCGCUGUCUUAGAACCCCUUCGAACAAGGCGAGUUCAUUUCAGACUGACGUCCCACCGCUCAUCAAUUUAAGAGCCAGUAAAAUUAACCACUUCGGAGCUGACUUGCUCCCUCCCCCUGCUUGGAUUCUGCAUCCUGAAAGGUCACCAAAUAAAUCUCUCUGGGUCCUACUAUGCAGCUUGGAGACAGGGUCUCAGAAGAGGAGACCGAGCCAGAGAUAGCCCAGGCCUGAAAGGUUGCCGAGGCCCCCUCACAGCCGCCGGUCCAUGGCGGUGGUGUGACAAGACAGGCCUUUGCUAGCUCUGCUCCCACCCAAUCAGCUUCUGCUCCCAAGAGAUCUAGGGUUGGGUAGAGUUGGGUGGCUGAAAAUGGAGGUGCUACAGAAGACCCCCUAGUCUUGUGGCAGAGACCUCUGUGCACUGCUAGUCUCCCAUCUGCUGUGGACUGAAUGUUUGUGCCCCACACCCAUUCAUAUGUUGGAACCCUAAUCCCCAAUAUAAUGGUAUUCGGAAGUGGACAUUUGGGAGGUAAUCAGGGUUAAGUUAGGUCACGGGGGUGGGGGCCCCAAUGUUGGGAUAUGAUGCCUUUAUAAAAUGGAAGAGAAGCUGAAACCUUUUUUUCUUGGCCAUGUGAGGAGGAUAUAGCAAGGAGACAGCAGCCAUCUGUAAACCAGGAAGAGGACUCACCAGGAACGUCACUAUGCUGGCACUCUGAUCUUGGACUUCCAGUCUCCAGAACCAGCUGCCUCUCAUGAUAAAGGCUGAAAGUACCAGACUCUUGCUUUCCCAGGUUCACUUGAAGCUAAAGACAGCCACAUGAGCCAGUUCUGGCCAAUGAGAAGUAAGAGGAAGACCGUACUGGGAGAUGUCUGGGGACAUUUUUCUUCUAGUUAAAAGGAUGAGCAUGCAUGAGGCCCCUGCACUUUUUUCCUUCAUGGCUGUGAACACAGUUGUAUGAAAACAUGAUCUUCAACUAUGGCAACCAUGCAAUAGCAAGUCUAAAGACCAAGAGCCAAUGCUGAGAGUAAAGAAAUAAAAGGAUGAAAGGAGUCUGCUCAGUUGUAUUUUUCAGCUGAUGAACCAAAGUAGGACCUCUAGACUUCUUUUGUGAGACAGUGAAAACUGCUCUUGAGGCUUUUUGUUAAGUGUUCUUGUUACCUGCCUCUGAAAGCAUUUUGAUACAUUGAAAAUGCAGAAUGAUACAGAAACUGGAAUUAAGACAUCUCCAAACUGUAACCGAGGCUUUCUGAGAAGUCCACAGGGCUCUGGACAGCCCCUACCAACCAGUGAUGGGAGUUACCUCGUAAGAUGAAAUCUAUGUGCCAACCCUAUUGUCAAACAAAUAUUUGUCUGGGAGUAAGGAGAAUUGAAUCCUACUUUGAGGCUUUGACAUUACCUGGAUAUAUGGCCUUAAACUAUUAAACAUUUCCGGGUCUCAGUUUCCUUAUCCACAAAAUGGCAUUAGGAUUGGUCUUCUCCAAUGAGUAAUUCAUGAUCUGCCAGAGACUCUCAAGCCUGAACUGAUGGGUCUCCAAGCUGGUUGCUGCUACCACGUACCUCUUCCCUUUACUCCGCACCAGGGAAGGAAAUUCACCCGAAACAGGGACAUCAACUUUCUAGCUCUGUUUGGGGACUUUCCUGUCCCUAAAAGGCCCUGGAGGAAAUAACGUAAACCGGCAUUUGGGGCGACUGCUAAGAGGCUAAAUCUUGUGACACUGGGAGCCCAAUGGCGUGGUUCAAGGAGCCCAAGAGUGGCCCAGUGGAGAGUCUUCUAUCAGCCAGAGGGGCAGAGCCUCUGUGCGAGGUGUGUCAGGAAUGGGUGUGACCGCACCAGAAGACACAUCAAGUGGGGAAAAUCAGGUGUGCAGAUAACAUUUUGUAAAUGCCUUUCUAAUUCUCAGUGCUCCACGAAGGAAUCUCAGAGAUUAAAUUAAGCUGUUAACCCUCUAGGCACUCCUGUCGUUUAUUGUUAAGGAAUUAAUAGGAAUGUGGGAAUGCAGAUGGCCUGGCUGUCAGCUCGGCGAGGCGAUUUUUCUGAUCUCCACGGACGUUUCCAGCAUCUUUCAUUAAGCGCUCAUGUACCAAUUUGUCAUUUUAACCGAGCAGGAAAGAAACUCACUGAACUCCCUGGCUCAGGUGCUGGGAGUUAAAUCCUCCCACGACAAGGCCUACAGGGUUGCAUCCGCAGGGGAAGCUCCGGCUCCUGGCGAUGGUGAGUGGCUUCUGAUGGAGGUGGGGUGGAGUGAAGCCAUUUCAGGAAGGAAGUCGGGAUCCCCAAACCUGGCGGUCCUGAGCACAGGUUUCAGAGGAUUGCAGGAGAGUCCUUUCUAGAAAUACUAAACAGAGCAGAGAUGUAAAGAAACUUCAACUUCCUCCUCAAACGCUCCAGGACGCUGGUAGCCUGCUCAACGAGGGGAGGCGCCACCUACAGGAGACAGGAAGACCUGCAACCUGGUCUGGAGACUUCAACAGUUCGAUGGCAGGGAUUAACCCGGCCCCACCCUUCCUUCUCCUCGUUGCAGCCCCUAACGUUUAUCGAAUGCUUUUCUCGUGCCAGACAUUGUCCUAAGCUCUUGACGUGUAUUAACUCUUUUAAACUUGACGAUAACCCUAUGAGUGUAACUCAGGGCCAAGGAUUUAACUCAGUGGGCCUUCAGUUCUGCACUUUGCCGUUCCCAUAUUUUUGAGACAGCCUUACGCGUCUGGAGAGAAAAUUGUUGCUAAGGGUUAACUGCACUGCAGCGGCAGACAAAGCUGGCCUGAUGGCAGGAAUACUGUUCCCCGAUGGCGGUUCCACGGGCACCUAAUUAUGAAAAAGUUUGAAUGACGAUAAUAAUGAUGUCAGUGGGGAGCCACAGAAGAAUUCUGAGCUGGGGAAGGACAUGAUCAAGACAGCAUCUUGGGAUAAUGUAUCUAAUUGCUGUGUUCAGGGGUGGCUUUGCAGAGAGACCAGGUAGGAGGAAAUUUCAGAGUAAGGUGAUGAGGGCCUGGAGUACGGGCUGGCAGUGGAAGUUAAAAGGAGUGAUACUGGGAUGGAAAAUUCAAUGACCCUCUCGCCAGAUGGGAAAAGGAGGCAGCAGACAGAGAGUGUCUAUAUAGCUGAAAGAGCAGAAGCACACUUAACAGAGAUAUGGAAAUUUGGAGAAGUGGCCAGCUGUGUUUGGAUGAGAUGAUAGGUUCGUUUAGACACAUAGAAUUUUAGGCAGUGGCUGGUUCUCAAGUGAAAACACCCAGCCUCUGGUUAGAAAUUCAGGACCGCAUCUGGAGAGAGAGGUCAGAGCUGGAAAACCGGACACGGACAUUAGACGCAUGGAGGUGACCGUGUAGGAAGAGAAAAGCCAGAGACUGAAGCCAGCCUUGAAGGUCGACUAGUUACAAGGAGUGGGAAGGUAAGGAGGGGCUGGUGAAAGGGCCAGAGUCAGCAGGAUCAGCAAAGGGUCUCAGAAACCAAAGAAAGGGGGUAGACAGUAUUUUGAUGUCCAGCCCUCUGUCAUGAGGGAUGGCAUUGGCUGUCAGACUUUGCGAGGCCUCUUUUAGGAGCAGAGGGAAACAUCCUUCAAUUUGACUCCCUUGCCUCUAACCACCUGGGUGGCUGGGGGCCCCAAGGCUCUGAGCCUUUGAAGAAAAAUCCAGGGAAAGGAAAACGGAGAAAUAUGAUCAAUAACAACAAGCCUUGUUUUUUUCCACUUCAUAUGCAGGAAGCGAUCGAGGGCUGUAGCUGGUGCUAUGAUGGGUGUAUUCUGCAUGUUCAAAAGGCUCACUUGUCCUCUGACUUCUGGUUGGGUUCAGCCAAUGGUCAAUGCUCAAGAAACAGUGCCUCUACCUGAAGUUUUUAAAGAGGAAGGAGGACACGUUUAUAUCAUGCAGCAAGUCACUGGAGAAGACUGAAGAUGUGGAAACUGAGCCUCAAAGAGCUUGAGAAACUUGUUCAUGGUCAUCUAGGUGGGGACACGGGUUCAAGCCCUGGUCUGGGAAGAUCCCACAUGCCGCGGAGCAACUAAGCCUGUGCGCCACAACUACUGAGCCUGCGCUCUAGAGCCUGCGAACCACAACUACCGAGCCUGGGUGCCACAACUACUGAAGCCCGUACGCCUAGAGCCCGUGCUCCGCAACAAGAGAAGCCACCACAGUGAGAAGCCCGCUCACCACAACGGAGAGUAGCCCCCCACUCGCCGCGACCAGAGAAAGCCCGCGCACAGCAACAAAGACCCAACACCACCAAAAAUA